RNAcentral lists this ribosomal RNA (248 nucleotides) under uncultured Pseudomonadota bacterium. Its description in RNAcentral is "uncultured proteobacterium partial 16S ribosomal RNA". It matches the Rfam family "Bacterial small subunit ribosomal RNA", at positions 554 to 792 of the family's 1533-position model. Lineage: Bacteria; Pseudomonadati; Pseudomonadota. The record is from RNAcentral.
UUGGGUAUAAAGUGCGCGUAGGUGGUUUGUUAAGUUGGAUGUGAAAUCCCCCGGGGCUCAACCUGGGAACUGCAUUCAAAAACUGACUGACUAGAGUAUGGUAGAGGGGUGGUGGAAUUUUCCUGUGUAGCGGUGAAAAUGCGUAGAUAUAGGAAGGAACACCAGUGGCGAAGGCGACCACCUGGACUAAUACUGACACUGAGGUGCGAAAAGCGUGGGGAGCAAAACAGGAUUAGAUACCCUUGUUA